This 460-nucleotide ribosomal RNA is filed under the name uncultured bacterium. RNAcentral's name for it is "partial 16S ribosomal RNA". It matches the Rfam family "Bacterial small subunit ribosomal RNA", at positions 338 to 795 of the family's 1533-position model. The record is from RNAcentral.
CCUACGGGAGGCAGCAGUGAGGAAUAUUGGUCAAUGGACGAGAGUCUGAACCAGCCACGUAGCGUGAAGGAUGACUGCCCUAUGGGUUGUAAACUUCUUUUAUAUGGGAAUAAAACAGGGUAUGCAUACCCUCUUGUAUGUACCAUAUGAAUAAGGAUCGGCUAACUCCGUGCCAGCAGCCGCGGUAAUACGGAGGAUACGAGCGUUAUCAGGAUUUAUUGGGUUUAAAGGGAGCGUAGGUGGAUUGUUAAGUCAGUUGUGAAAGUUUGCGGCUCAACCGUAAAAUUGCAGUUGAAACUGGCAGGCUUGAGUACAGUAGAGGUGGGCGGAAUUCGUGGUGUAGCGGUGAAAUGCUUAGAUAUCACGAAGAACUCCGAUGGCGAAGGCAGCUCACUGGACUGCAACUGACACUGAUGCUCGAAAGUGUGGGUAUCAAACAGGAUUAGAUACCCCAGUAGUC